CAAAAGAAGGGAAGCACAGCGACAUUGUCGGCAUCUCCCAGAGAACUGGAGCUGCCUCCCUGGGAAGGGGUUUUAUUGGAUGUUCUGUGUUCUAGAUUAUAAUUAUUAUUAGAUAAUGCAGUGGGAUUUGAGCCCUUCUGCAGUAUCCUUUUCCUUGUCCCCUUUCCUUGAUAUAUAUAUAAAUCAAAUGGAGUCUUCCACGUGUUGCCCUUCUCCCAAAGGAUCCCUGAGGUUUAGGACAUGUGUCUUCCCACGGAUUUCCCCUAUUUGCAUCUCCUGGGUUGUGCAAGGCUCUGAGGGAAAAACCAGGCCUCCGCUGUCAGGAGCAAAAGUCACGGCCAUUAAUAUGCCGGGCUUUGGGAUUGAAGGCUGGGGAAAGAGAAGGGUAAUAUUUAUUUUUCCUUAGGAGAACGGGAAAUGGUGAUUUUUUCACAAGGAAUCUCUCUGGCAAAUACUAAUUGCAGGCUUGAACGGUGCCACCGCUGCCGAAGUGGAGGUUGGGGGACUAAAUGACACAGGUGCAGCUCUGGGUGGAUCCUGCUCCAGCCCUGUCCUGCCUUUCCUUCCCUUGGAGAUGUGGAUGUUGCAAGGAGCUGGAUGGUGCUGAGUGCCGUCUGUAACUGAAUACAAGGUGGGAGUGAUUCAGGGAUCGGGGAGAGGUUCCCGUUGGUGCCCCCAGCACAAAGGCAGGAUUCAAGUGGAGCAGCCUCAUCCCAGGGAUGAAAUUGCAGCCCCUGCAUUGUCCCGAGGACGGGCCUUGUUUCCCUAAUCUGCUGCUGCUCUGCAGCUUUAAAUCUGAGGGAAAGAAAAUCUGGAUGUAAAUGCAGCUGUGAAAGGAGUCAGUGAUGGCAGGGAAAUGUGAUAUAAAAUUAUAGCCAGGAUGGGCAGGCAGGGAUUUAUUUUGGAUGUGGGAGUAACGGCCAUGCAUGCGCACAUAACCCCAAGGCACCAGUUUCUCUCGUCUCAGUCUUGCCAAACAAGGGUGACCUUAGGUAGGGAUAAUUUUAAAGUCUGCAGGGUCAUGUCUUACCCCUUGAUUCUGCUGCAUCCUCUCUCUCAAAGGUGGGAAUGUUUUUAAGCCCCUGGUUUUUUAAUGGAGGAAUUUCUCGCCUUCCUGGGUGGGAAAUGAGCAAAUUUUCUCCAUACAUUUUCCCUUUCAAGAUUAGCAUAGAUUAUAUGGAAUAAAUUACAUAAUCUGUUACUAAGUACUGGAGGAUAGUUGCUAGUUCAAGAUUUCAGUGUAUUCCUUUCCUCAGUGUAUCCCUAACUCAGGAAAGGUGCGAAUGAGUCACAGAGCAGAAAUCAGCGGAUAUCACAAAUAAUGUUGUUCCUGAUGAAUUAGCACCCUGACCUCCUCAAGGCAACUUUGGAGGUUGCUCAGAGCAUCCUUGGCAUUGUUUAAUGGCUUUGCUGUGACAUCUGUCUUCAACCCAAAUGGAUUCUGCAAUAGCUUAAAAAAGAAAUUAAAAACCAAGUUAGUGCUUGAAAGGUUGAAUAGGAAUUCUGCUUGGCUUGACCUUGCUUCUCAUGGGAAUGAUUCUUCUGAGAUUUCGAAUGCAUUUCAAUCCACAAAUGGGGGGAAAGGCACUCCAGGUUUUAUAGCUUGAGCACCUCAGGUAUUUUUUCAGCAGCAGAGAGGAAUCAGCCCCUCAGAGAAGUGAAGGGUUUGAAAUCCAACUUCCUAUUUCCAUUUAAGCCAUAUACAAUCCUGCCGUAUCAGUGCAGUAUAUUGUGGGAUGAUUCCUGUGAUUCCCCCCCAGGACCCAUUUGCUCCUGGUUUUGUUUGUAAAUAUGUGGUUUGUUCUAGCAAUGCUUUUUGCUUCAGGCUUCAUUUGUACAGUGGGAUAUUUACCUGUACCAGAGCGUGCUAUUUGACUGCUUAUAUAUAGGAACAAUUAUUGCAAAGGAGAUGAAAACACAUCCUGGGCAUAGCCUGAAGCUCCAGGGGCUGGCUUCCAAGCGCAGCAGGAUUUAGCUUGUUAGAAAAACUGCAAAGGCAGGAGCUGCAAAGCUUCAGGGCCAUGGUGGCAUCUGGGAGAGGAUAGAACAGGUAGAGGAAACACAGGGGACCGGAUUCUCCUGCUGCAGCUGCUUCCAGUGGAGUUAUUCCCCAAAUCCUCACCCUUUCCAAAGUGAAUCCAAAUGUUUCAGGUGCAGGUACUGUCUGUGUAUAUUAAACCCCUGUUACAGGAUGCUGGUUACCUGCAGUGACAGAGGGAGGUUUUAGAGCUUUUAGUAACUUUUGCAUUGUCUGUUGAUGUUUUAAUAGGCUCCAGGCUGGAAGUUUAAUCCGUAAAAAGGUGUGUCAGGUCGUUGGUGAAUAUAAAUUGCUGAACAGCGUAGGCCUGCGAGGCUGGAGGAUGCACGAGGGAGACAGGGCUGUCUUCCAUGUCGAGGAACCGGACUGUGAAAUUAGGCACAUGGGUUUGCAACCUUGUCAUUUUGCCUUGUGUUUCCUGGAGUUCCACUGCUGCGGACACGUCCGGUUUAUGAAGAUGCACAAAGAGGUAAGAAAUCCCCUGUGGCACAGACAAAAAGCGUGGAAAAGUUACAGGGAGGAGAUUAAAGAGUGCAGGAGCUGGUGUGGCUGGAGAAAAGCCUUGGAGAAAUCCAGGUGUUAUCCAAAUUACACAGAAGGUAGUUCAUCUUUUUCAUCUUUAGGAAGGGCAAAUAUAUGAAAUAUCCUACUCCAAGCCUUUUGAUCUGUAGGUUGGAGAAGAGAUGAUACAAGACCCAAAGUUUUAAGUGAAGGGAGGCAAGGAUAGCCCAGGUGGAAUGAUGCUGGGUAGGGAUGAAGGACAUGCUUCAGACGAGCCAAACUUGCCUUCCCCAUGUAGGAAAAUGUGACUUUCACAGGCUUUGAGCUUUGGUUCAGUAUUAGCUGUAGAUCAGAGUAAAUGAGGUGUAUAAUAAACAGCGGUGCAGAGGGGCUGUGCUGGCUAUUGCUUCGAGCUGGGAAAAGGCCUUUCUUACCCUGCUUGGCUGAAAUCCUGAUGUCUUAAAUCAUUUUACCAGCCACAGGCUUGGGGAAAAAUGAUUUGUCAGAAUUCCUGAUUAUAACAAAGAAGUAGAAUAGACUGUGCUCCUCAAUUACAGCAGUCAUUCCAAUCAUUCUUCCUCCUGCACAAGGUGUACUGGGAAAGGCAGUUGGCACAUAAAUAAAUCCAAACACAGCCCAUAGAUUUUGUGCUGCUCAAGGAAGGGGAGCCUGGGGGUCUUGGUGGCCGAGGGAACGGGGGAGUUUCGCCGUGGGAGAUGAUUUUCAUCACAUCCCCAUUUACAAAGUGUUCUGCCACAUCCUGGAGCCGGAGCGGAUGGAUUGUAAGGAAGAGGUUCAUUUGCUUGGGAUGGAUGGCACUCUCAAAAGUAAAGCGCCGUCAGAGAUUUUUAUCUGCCACAGGUGCUGCCACAAGGCCUUCACGAUGGAUGGGGCGGGAGUUCCGAGCCGGAGAGCUUUGGCAGGUCUCCCACGAUGACCGGAAUUUCAGAUAUUGCAGCUAUUUUCCUGUUGCUUUAGCGCAUUCCACAGCCACUCCAAAAUGAUCUUUGUUUUCCAGAAGAGCUCCUGAUUCAGGUAGGCAUUAAACCAUCCGCUGUGGCCCCAGCGGGUACGAGGGGGACGUGGCUCUGCCCAGCAUCUCCUCUUUGCUCCCUGGCCAUAGACAAGAAUUAACACUGGGAAUUGUGAGGGAUGAGAGACAAAUGACUUGACCACAGAGGAGAGGGAGGAGAAGGAACAGUACAAGUUCUUUGCUCAGCACCACCGUGUUGAUCACUUAUUAAAUUACAUCCAUUGUGUGAUUUGAAAGAACUCCUCCUUUUAUCUCAACAGCCAUCGGGAUGGAAACAAUAAUAAAACUCUGCUGACAGGUGCCACAAAGGUGACUUUGUUUUCGGUGCCCCUCUUCAACUUCUGCUGGAUCAGAGAGCAAACAAACCCGAGGAAGUUCUCACUGGGUGAGUGCCAGGAGAGGAGGAGUGUGGUAAAUGCUGGUUGUGGUUUUGGCUAACUCUGCUGGAGGACAAAAGGGGAGGUUUAACAGCAGAUUCUCGGUCUGCUCAGCCUGCAGGAGCCAGGAGCUGAGGCAGGGAGGGUGACUCAGAGUCUCAGUCUGCUCUGAGCCGCUGGGAUUUAUGAGGAUUUGGGCAGACCUCUUGCCGGGGCAGGGCAGAAGUGAUCACGGCACUGCCCCAUCUCACCCUAGCGCUGAUGUCAAAAGGCACUGCAGUGUUCCAGUAAAAAAUGCAGUUUUGUGCGUAUUUUGGGGUGUGAACAGAGUUUCAGGGGGCUCUGUGGGGGUCCUGUUUUCCUCACACUGGCGAAGUGCCCAUCACUGCCUGUCAGGAGGUGAGUAAAGAGCAGAACCACAUCUGACACCAGCUCUGUAAACACUCUCCGUACCUGUGCAGCAUCACUGGGUAGUUUAUCACAGUUUCUGACUCAGUACAAGACAUUUUAUAAUGAGAUUAGCAGGUGGCCCUACAAGAGCAAAGCCUCCUACCUAGCACCACGUAAUUAAUCCAUAAAAAUUAAAGGCAGGUUCUCUCCUUGGCAGCUUUUAAGUAUUCCAAGCGUUGCGGUGUCAUAGGCUUUAUGACAGCUUUGAGAUUAAGGAAUUAAAAAAAAAAAAAAUUAAAACCUAUAUUCAGUAAUUUAAUUCUAAUUAAUUCAUUAUCCAAGAAUCUUCUUUGCAUUGCAGCUCCUAGCCAUAAUAUUUCUCUGGCUUUCUUCCAGAUUUUUUUUCCCCCCAAGCUUUGCUGCUUUAUUUGUGGGCAGGAAAGGAGUGCAUAGAUACAAUUGUAGUCCUCAGGAUGUAUAUUAAUAUUCUUUAACUAUCUUAAAGUUCACCCAUUUAAUGCUGUAUCAUCCAGGAACAGCCUUUUGUUAAGCAAGUUUCAAGAUUGUAUGGCUUUCCUGCUUGUGGAAUUUUUUUGAAAGGGCAUUAAAAAGUUCUCUCUCUUCUCUAGCACAGCCCUGGAGAACUGACCUUCCCACUAGGAGCAAUCUUUCAGCAGGAAACAUUUGGGCACAUUUUUUGUGCCCUUCAGGUUGAUUUUGCUGAGAAGAGCUGCAUGGUCUCCGAGCAGGAACAGAUUGUUGCAGUUAACCUUAGGAUGGGACUGGCUGCCAACAUCUGUACGAGCAGUGUGUCAGUGAUUCACAGAUGCUGGGACGUGCAGCGGCUCUGCAGCCUGAGGGGUGUGGGUGGCUCAUUGCUUUUGAGUGGGGAAGAGCCAGUUUUGGUCACCUUUUGGGCCUUUUUGGCUCCAAUAAGCACCUGGCUGUGCUCCUGUGCAGCACAAGGACAAAGGCAUUGCUGGGUGUGAGGUUUGUCCCCAAGGGUGGCACGUGACCACCUGUAGCUGCGUAGUGAUGGAUUUUUGGGCCGGGUGGCAGGAGGUUUCUGAGGCUGGAGGGAGGUGAAAGUCCAUAAACCAGCACAUUUCAUACCUGGAGAAUGCAGAGGCUGCUCCUAGUAAUAUUUUAGGGCAUGAACUGCCCAUGGCAGCUCUGCCCUGCUCCCCUGGAACAUUUAUUUAUUUUAGGAGUGUAUAAAUGCCACUCUCAGAACUCUCUGAGAGUCCCCCGGGUACUUUUAGCCCUCUCCCCUUUUCACAGGUCAGCAGGGGGAAAGCAGGUGGAUGGCAGCACCUGAGAGCUUUAUAAUCCUGGGAACACUGCCCAGGGAGCCAAUUCCCUAGGCUGGGAUGGGAAAGUGUAUUGUCUGCACCAGGGCUGGAUGGUGGAAAAAUACCUCUUUUGGGGGAGUGGGGUGCGGUUUGUUUUAUUGUUUUCGCCUUUUUUAAUGCAUUUAUACAUUAUGGGAAGUGAUGUGUGUGAGUCAGGAGGGAAGUGAUCCAGCUCUGCACUGCCUGCAACUGCUGCCAAAUAAAUGAGCAAGGUGGCACUGUGGGGCUGCUCACCCGGGGUGCCCGAUCGUGUCAGGGGCGGGAGAAGGUGCAGGGGGCUCUUUAGCUCUGCUUUUCUGCUUUGCUUACUGCUGCCACUCUCAUCUUACAUGAGAUGGAGUUAAAAUACCCAGUUCAUUAAAAAAAAAAAAAAGGAAGGAAAUGCAUCUGAACCUGAAUAAAUUCAGUUAGGGCAGAAGACACAGUUCCUUGCUGCUGAGAGUAUUGAAGCUCUGAAAGGUGGGACACAAGAGUUACGGCCCCUUUGCAUCAGCCUUCCUAGAGAGCUGAGCAGGCUUUACCAGGAGAGAGGCCCAGGGAAGGGGAGUGGAGGAAAAGUCCUCUUUUGGGGAUGUUUUUGCCCUCUUUUCUUUCUGGUAGUCAUGGGUACAUUCCUAGUGGUUUCUCAUUUUUAGGGGCCAGGGCUCUGGCCAGCCCAGAGAAGGGAGGGCAGUUUAAAUACCUGAAUUCAGGUGUGGUCCCUCCCUUGCCCACAUCCACAUGUCCGAGCAGCCACGGAGUCACCUCCAUGUUUACUUGAGUGGGGAUGCAGUGGGAGAGGGGCUUCCUCUCCAGUGCUGAGGGAUUGUCAGACUGGAUUGUCACCCUGUGCCCAUCCGUAGUCGCAGAUCAGCCGAGUGCCUCAGCGAUCCUGUCACUGUCACUGUGUGGGGAGAGGAGAUUUUCCACAGAGGGAGACAGACGAUACCUCAUGCUCCAAACAAAGCCUGCCAGAGAAAAAUCUGUGCGAUACUCAGGCAGCUAAAAUGAGCCAUAGUAUUUAUUCCCAGAGCUCUGUCUUCCCUAAAUAUUGGAUCUCUGUGAGUAUCAAAGGGGCUUCCAACCAAAGCACCAUGCUUUUGACAGCAAUAAAAGACAGGUGCCCAUGGAUAACUCUUCCCCAAUGUUUUUACAGCCAAGUAAUCAAUAUAUCGCAACAGACACAUUGCCUUUUAUUUGCUGUUUGUACACCACCCAGGAUCCUUGGAUGUGGUGUUGACGCCAGCACAAGGAUACAAGAGAUGAGGGAUCGAUAGGAAAUGCUUCUUCAGGUGUAUUGAUUACCCAGAAAGGCAUGACAAUAAAUUUUUGUGUGUUCCCGCUCCGUCUCUGAGCCUGUUAAAAGGAAAGAAAUGCCCUGGUUUUCUCUGUUUCUCUCUUCUAAAAAGCUGAAAAAAACCCCCAACAUGGCAAGACCUUGGGGAUGUUGGGUCUUCUUUUAUUCUUUUAGACAGUGGGAAAAUCUAAUCUAUUUCUUUUCUGACCUUUUGUCCUCUUUUCCCAUCUUGGGAGCAGAGAAAACAAGGAUGACAGCUAAAAGGGAAAGGAUGCCAAAAGAGCAAAAAAACCCAAACCCCAACCCUUAAAAGAGAACUCCUGACAUCAUUCUAUUAAUCCAAUCAGAAUUUGGUUUAGUAUUGAAUUAUUGAAAAACUGAAUUGGAUUACUUUUCAUUGGUAUGGAAAGUGGGAGUUGUGUUCCACAGGCUCCGUAGCACCGGGAUUUAACCUUAUUCCUGCAAACAGUCGAGACCUUGCCUUGGCACAACUUUUCCCACUCCAAGUGCCGGGUGUGCUCAGCAUAUUUCCGAAUUAGGCAGCCAGAAAGGCUGCCCCUCAAGGACACCCGUCUCUGGUUUAUCUCCUGAGUUACGCUGAAGAAGCUGGAAUUGUCUCCAUCGGCAGGAGCCUCUCGCGUUUCAGGGAAGCUCCGUGAGAAGUGAAGGAUGUGAGUGAAACAAGUGGAAUAUUCCAGCUUGAUACCUGGAAUUAAAUGUAGUUAUUGUAGCUAAUCUUGGGAGGCGUAGUGGGGGGUUGGUGCUGGAAAAACUAACCGCCUGUGAGAAGUUCGAGAGCUCCAGGGCAUCAUCCCCUGGGAAGUGCAGAUCCCUGAGCCACAGCGAGCUGGCAGGGGCCGCCCGCUGUGUUUCAUGACAAAUCCAGCGACAGGAUCCUGAGGAUUUGCUGGUGAUUACUCUCCUCACGUUCCUUAAGAUCGUUCUCCCCCCCCAGGGCAGGCGGGAAACCCUGGUUUAAGUCACCCUCCGGCUCUGUGUGAAACCGCUCGGAGGGACAGCUGGGAACAGCCAGGUAUGGCUUUGAAGGGGGGUGGGGCGGGGAAGAGGGAGAAAGUAUGGAUAUGAAAGAGCCAGAAAUUCCCACUCUCCCGGGGUGACAAGCCUUAUCUGGGGAGAGCAGCAGCAUGAAGGAGCCAGAAACCUGAUUUAAGAUCACUCUGCCCCCCCACCCCCAACUUCAGACUCACCCAAACUAACCAAACAAAAAACUGGAGCUCAGACACAAAAUGCACCUGCAAGUUCAUGAGUUUCCUAUUUAUGACCUAAGUUCUCUGUUCCCCAGGCAUUCCCUGAAAUCAUCUUUGCAGAGGGCAGAUUUCCUUCUGGUAGCCGAUACUGCUAGCUUGGAAGAUUAUUAAGACACAAUUGGGAAAAAGGAUCUCAAAAUAAUGCCACCAUCAGUGCUGCCAGGGCUUUUUUUUGCUUUUGUUUUGCUGGGUGUUUUUGAGGAACAGCCUUUUGCUGUAACAUUGUUUCAUGGGGUUUCUUUGCUUAUUUUGCCUUUUUUCCAAGUGAUUUACGAACGUCUCUGUCACCGUUUCAUCCCUUCUGAAAAAGCUUUGUUUUUGUGAAGAGGCUGCAGCACGUCAGAGUAAAGUGCAAAUACCCACUUCAAGGCUCUAACAAGUUCUGUGCCUCUAAGAGCCUUUGAUUCCUGCAUUUAAUUAUGUCACAUUGGAUUAGAAUAAUCCUAUUCCUCCUUGUUUCUCCAACUCAGUUUUCCAUACUUGUCUUGCACUUAAUUAAAAGUGCCUCCUUCACUGCAGGGCUGGUAGGGAAAUGAAGGCUGACACACUGGGGAACUUUGCAUCUGGAGGCAUCUUAUUUUUAAUCUCUCAUAUAGACAUUUAUUUAUCCCACUUUUCAUUCUUCCCUUGCCUAAAGAAAUACUGAGCGCAAGGUUACUUUGUGAAUUUGCUGUUAAACAGUUGCAAGAUAUUUAGAGGUGCAAGGAAAGGAGAAGUUGAAUAGUGUGCUAAUUUCUAGCUAAAUUUGGCUAAACCUUACCUAAUGUCUUGGCGCAAAGCUUUCCCCACCUCCCCUUUUUCUUUUAAUAGUAGCGUUUGGACUUGAUGAUCUUAAAGGUCUCUUCCAACCUUAAUGAUUCUCUGAUUCCAUGCUUUUCUCAUAGUGAUGAAUUUGGGUUUUUACCCACCAACACGAAAUGCUGGGAGGAGACGAAGCAAAGCAAAUAUGCUUUUGGCACUAUAUAUAUAUGAUUGUAUAUAGGAUUUAAUUUUGACUUGGCAGUUGCUUUGAGGCAUAAUACCUGAUUUUGAGGUCUGUGUUAUUCAUCUCUAACUUUUCUGGUAACUUUCUGCUCCAGCGGUUGAGAAAAUUUGUUAGAAUUUCCCGAGCACUUGCUCUUCUUUCCAGCCCUGACCGCCUUAUUUCAGCUUUGCUCCGUGCAGCUCUAUUCAGCAGAGCGGGUUUGCCUGCGUGGUCUAUGACUCAAGACCCUUGAGUCAUCCUGGCUUCUUGGGAUCAGCCAAAGGAUUUUAGGGCAUUAUGCUCCUUAUUCCUGAAGCGGCGAUUUGGGAUUUUUGAGAUUAAUGCAGAUUUUUCCUUUGAUCGCUAUUUACUCCUUCAGUCCCUAUUUUCUCCUUCCUGUGGUGCUGGAAGUGCAGAUCCAGACAUGAGCCUCCCCUGCCCUGGCUGUACCUACAGGCAUGCAGCUGGAUUUUCCAGAGGCUCCUCCUAAGUGUUUCCAGCCCGGUGUGGGGAUCUGGUCAUUGUGCUGGCUGUCAUCUUUGCUCUGGCAGAUAAGGGAAAGUGUUUAAACUCUGUCACCGUAAUAGGAUUACGCUUUUAAACCCUGAAUGAUUCCAGCUCCAGAGCAGCAUUUUGAGAUCAGAUUUGGAUUCCCACGGCUUUUGAUUAUUUUGGGAAGCUGGGGAGCGAUGCUGCGAUUCACCAUGCUAAUUGUGGUGCGGCGCACAUGGUGCAGGCCCCACGCCUGGAAGGGGGGAGUUUUGGCUUUCCCAGGGAGUCUGCAGCCAAAAAACCCCCUCUGUGAGCUGUCAGGUGGGUCAGCACCUGCAGGGUGGUUCCUGUCUGUGGGCGAUGGUGUGGUGGACCCCAGGAGCUCCCCCAGCAGUGGGAAUUCCCGAUGAAGCUGUGCCAGGCCGGUUUGGCUUCCAGCAGCUGGCUCGUGUCUGAAAGUACCUCCAGCACUCCUCCAGCAUUUAGUAACACCUAGUAUUUAAAGCUGGCAAUUGCUCCUGUGCUCCAGGCCCUGCAGGAGUACCCCUUGUGACAGGGUAUCCAAUCCCUGUGCCACUGAAUUCUCUUGGAUGAGGACUCGUUCUUCAUGCUGCUGCCAAUUUUCUCCUACUCUCACUUGCUAAAAUAAUACAUGGUAGUCGCGUCUUAAAUUAGACACAAGCUUAACCCUCUGACAAAGUUCAUGAAACCUGUGUGCUGUGAGGAGAGACUGGAAGCAAUGUGCUUUUCUAUUUGGGAAAUGCCACAGGUGUCAGGUUGGUCAGCUGGAUUUUGCAUGGCAAUUCAUAGGAUCAUGGACUGGUUUGGCUUGGAAGGGACCCUAAAGAGCAUCUCAUGGGCUUGGUUUUCCUGAGACGGUUUGCUAGGAACCCAGACUUUCUUUUCCAUAGACAAAAUUCUGUGUCCAAAGAAGUGCCUUCUCCUUUGGGGAUGUGUUACUCAUUUCCUGUUCCCCAUUUUCUAUAAUUUGUCACUGGCUUUACGGUCUCCUCUCCAUCGACACAUCUCUGAGUGCAGUGAUGCUUCUCAGCAGUGCAGCAAAUGCGGUGACUGGGCCAAACUGGAUCUCCAAGCUUUCCCCUCAGGUGUCAGAAGACGCUUCCCUGCAGUGCUCAGCCCCUGCUUUAUGGGAAAGCCCGCUGUAAUCCGGACACACAGAACUGCAGAGUUUUCCUCUGCCCAGGAGGAUGGGUGGCUGCCCCACAAUUCAGCUCUUCCAUCAGAAAAACAACAAAGCAGCGAAGGAAUAAAUCAUUAAGGCCAUUAAUCAACAGGUAGCAAACAGAAAAGGAAGCCAAAAUGAAAGGGAAUGAUCUGUGGGCUAAACAGUUGUUUUAAACGCGCACGAAGCUCUGUAAUUGAAGGUGCAAGAGCGCAAAACUUAACACUGGAAGGAAACCAGAAAAUGGAUGUACUUAAGGUUGGGCACUCAUGAAAGCAGUUUUAUUGCACAUUACCAAAUUUUAUAAUGUCUUCAUUGUGUCACUGUUAAAAGUCCAGAAUGAUUAUUCUUUAAUGUGUGAAAUAAAAAUGUGUUUAAUGUGCCAGUAUUAAAUAGGUCCAUGGCAAA
This is a long non-coding RNA of Corvus hawaiiensis (hawaiian crow), 11282 nucleotides long. RefSeq lists it as uncharacterized. The transcript is spliced from 2 exons. The record is from RefSeq and is a predicted model, not a curated record. NCBI's taxonomy places the organism in Eukaryota, Metazoa, Chordata, Aves, Passeriformes, Corvidae.